CAGUUGUUCCGCCAGGAGCACCGCUGGGUAGCUAUGUACGGAAGGGAUAAGCGCUGAAAGCAUCUAAGCGUGAAGCCCCCCUCAAGAUGAGAUUUCCCAAUUAGUAAGACCCCUUGAAGACGACGAGGUAGAUAGGUUGGGGGUGGAAGUGCAGUAAUGCAUGGAGCUGACCAAUACUAAUCGGUCGAGGGCUUAUCCUAA
This 201-nucleotide ribosomal RNA is filed under the name Paenibacillus peoriae. RNAcentral's name for it is "partial 23S ribosomal RNA". It matches the Rfam family "Bacterial large subunit ribosomal RNA", at positions 2718 to 2925 of the family's 2925-position model. The record is from RNAcentral. Lineage: Bacteria; Bacillati; Bacillota; Bacilli; Caryophanales; Paenibacillaceae.